AUGGGGGCGGGGAACAGGCCCCGGGCCAGGCCGCGGCGCCCCUCACACACGCACACACACACCGACACACACACACCGGGGUCACCAGGCGCAGGCGCCGCCCCCUCACUGCCCCGCCAUCUUCUCCGUGCCACAGGCACCAGUCCCUCUGCCUUCUCCUCAGAACACGACGAGGACAGCCGCCACCGCCUUCCGCUUCUGCAGCUACAGCUUCUGCUCGGCCGCCGCCGCGGUCACCAGCACACACCGCCAGGCCCCGCCGCCGCCCAGCGCACACACACACAGCAAGGCCCGGCCGCAAGCCCCUCCCCCCAACACACCACAGCCACCGCCACUUCUGGACUUCACACGCCGCCCCGACUCUGUCUGUCCCGGGCCGCGGCAGCCCCAACAGAUCUCACAGGCUUAAAGGCGUCUCAGGCCCUGCCGGCAACAGCGACCGUUACCCCAACGGGCAAAGCCACGGUCAUCCCCGAGACUCCCCCGCCGCCGUCGUCGCUACCGCCCACACGCAUGCGCAGUCUGUACCCUUCCCCCACCCCCCCCUUCCCCCGUCCCUUCCCUUCCCUUUUCGCCUGCUUCUCCUCUAGGCGCCCCCGCCUCCUCUUUCUCUCUCCCUCCUCCCCCCUCCACCUCUCAGCCCCGGACCCAGCGCAUGCGGGCUGUCCACCUCCCACCGCCGCCUGUCGCCCGCGCGUGCGCCAUGGACUUCUACCCAAAGAACAGGAUAAACAGACAAGCGCGUUCACGCGCUCCACCUUACCGCUCCACUUCCCCCACCCCUCCUCCCCUUCUCAAAAAAAACUCGCCACUUUCUGCGCAUGCUCGACUGUGCCAAUGAGUUUCCUCGAGUCUCCGGUCACGACUGCCAGCAGGCGCAUGCUCGCUCUCUACCCUCCCCCCUCAACUCCUCCCACCCCCCCAUUUGCCGCCCCCUCCUCUCUGAGGCUGAGGAAGGGGAGGGGGCGGAGAAGGGGCGAAGUGAUCCUCCCCCAAACCAAAGCACUGGGAGCGGCCUUCCGCAUAGCUUCACCUCGCGUUCUCCCCCACCCACACCCCCUCGAGUACCGCAUGCUCUCGCCGCCCUUGCCCCGGAGAGGGAAGAGUGCGCCUUUCUCCCCAGGCCCGGCCUUUCCCCGCAGCUGA
This 1146-nucleotide long non-coding RNA is filed under the name Phascolarctos cinereus (koala). Its description in RNAcentral is "lncRNA (ENSPCIG00000030402.2)". Lineage: Eukaryota; Metazoa; Chordata; Mammalia; Diprotodontia; Phascolarctidae. The record is from RNAcentral.